This 366-nucleotide long non-coding RNA is filed under the name Heterocephalus glaber (naked mole-rat). RNAcentral describes it as "lncRNA (ENSHGLG00000049786.1)". Lineage: Eukaryota; Metazoa; Chordata; Mammalia; Rodentia; Bathyergidae. The record is from RNAcentral.
GGCAGCGCGGCUCCGCCCAGGGCAGCCGGAGCUGCGGCGCUGGGGACGGUGAGGUCUCCCUCUCCAGCUCUCGGCCUCUGCUCAGGGAGACACUAGCAGUGCUGGAGCUCCUGCUGGGGUCCUGUCCCCUGCCUUUCCACCCGCCGCUCCCUGGCCCCGGGACAGAAAGCAGGCCUGCAAAAUCUGCUUCACAUGACCUGGCCGAGCACGACAUGGGCCAGAUGGUCACCAAGUCCGAAGCGAGCAUCUCAGAAGCAGUCCAGCCCCCUUUCUCUGUGCCCCACCAUGCUCUGCUGCGUUCUCGGUCCCCCUGCAUUCUGGUGAUCAGCUGUGCCUCGAGGUCCCGGGGGACAGUUGCAUCUCCUG